UUAAUAGGAUUUAAAAUCUAAAUUUUAAAUCAGUUAUCGGUAGUGCUCAUACCACUGUCCGUCGUUAUACUACUUCGUUAAGUAAUAAUAUUUGGUUUCUAGUUGGAUUAUCGAUCUUUGCAAGUGAUUGAUUUACCCAUAAUCCUCCUUUUGACGUCGACAUUUAGGAAAAGCAGACGCAUUUUUAGCCAUAGAUGUAUCUUCUAAAACCCGCCCACCCUCCCUUAUAUUAGUAGAAUGCAAUUCCUACGGAAGAUACUGCUGUUUGGUUUUGAUUGUUUAUUUCAGAAUUGUAUUGUCUACAUCUAUUAAACCAUCACUCAAUGUGGAAAGAUGUACAAAAGUUUUAAUGACGAGACGGUCAUUCAAGAAAAAAGACGAGGAGUGGACUUACAUGCAUAUAGAAAUUGAAUGGAUGACUGAGAAAG
RNAcentral lists this long non-coding RNA (428 nucleotides) under Mytilus galloprovincialis (Mediterranean mussel). Lineage: Eukaryota; Metazoa; Mollusca; Bivalvia; Mytilida; Mytilidae. The record is from RNAcentral.